Long non-coding RNA from Daphnia carinata, 1014 nucleotides. RefSeq lists it as uncharacterized. The transcript is spliced from 4 exons. NCBI's taxonomy places the organism in Eukaryota, Metazoa, Arthropoda, Branchiopoda, Diplostraca, Daphniidae. The record is from RefSeq and is a predicted model, not a curated record.
UUGUUCUGUUGCUACUUCACAAUGGUUGGCAACGCGAGCUAAAAAGCUCAAGGCAACGAAAAGGUAAACCAUUGAUUACCUUGUUUUUUAUUCGGUUGCUGAAGGCGAUUGUCUGAAAAUAGCCUGAAAUAUCCAUUCAUAGCUUGCCUUCAACAUAAUGUUAGAAUAUUAUCAUAUUUACUGUAUCUUGAGGGCUUUUAAAAAGCUGCCUUUUUAAAUUCGUUUUGGCAAAAAUGUCGUUAUCGAGUGCUUUGUCAGUCAAUCAGUGGAAGCAGAUCAGGAUUGACGUUCAGCAGAGCUUGUAUAACUAAACAGUGCAGUUGGAUUUUUACAAGAAGUGCUGAUUGUUGCUUCGUUUCAUUAGUAUACGCAAGUGAAUUUAUUUUUUUUAGCUAGGUGUCUAUGGAAAGUGUUUGCUGUUAUAAUGGUUUUCAGACCUACAUGGUUGGUCCUUAUCUGUAUUGGCAAGUAAAAAUUCGUUGGCAUCACUGAUUACGCCCCCUAUCGAGUCUACACAUUUAGGAAAAUAGUUCCAGAUGAACCAUUACGUGAAACUCAGUACAAAGGGAAAAAGUUGUUAUCAUGCCAAAAACUACCUCUGUCAAAUCAAAAUCGAGCACGACAGACUCUCGCCCACCCUGGAAUCCUUCCACAGCUGUAACCAAUAAAAGUGCCCAGUUACCGAGUCUACCAGGAAAGAAGAGGCAAUUUGCAAACGUCCAAAGCCGAAUACGUUCGGGAAUCGGUAACAGGUCUUCUAACAUGUCGCAAAACGCAUCGAAUAGCUACCGAGAACGCAAUGAUUCGUCCGCCGUUUCUGCCUGUCUUUAUCCAACUGAUCAUCAGUCUCCGUGGCCAGCACCCAAAGAACACAACAAUACUACAACUGGUUCUACCAACCAAGUCCCAGAAGCAAAAACUCCAGCCCGUUGCGUUUGAGGAUACGUGAGUAAAGACAAUGGAAUAUGAAUUAGAAGUCUUACGUGAUUUAAUAGAACCAUCUUGUCACCAGUA